Brassica napus (rape) is the source of this 1171-nucleotide long non-coding RNA. RefSeq lists it as uncharacterized. Lineage: Eukaryota; Viridiplantae; Streptophyta; Magnoliopsida; Brassicales; Brassicaceae. The record is from RefSeq and is a predicted model, not a curated record. The transcript has 3 exons.
AAUCGUCUUUCGUGUUGUAUCUGCUAUCUUAUUCCUAUUUUCCUGCAACGUAUUUACUAGCUUUUAAUCAAUGUUUCUAAUUGGUGAUUUCAAAAAUAAAGAUGAUGUUUUCAACUUUAGGCAAGAGUAAUUCCACUUGCCCAUUCAAUACAUGAGUUUUCCGGGUCAUGUAUGUAUUGCUAUCCUGCAAAAGAUGUUGAAGGUUAAAGAUAUAUUCUAACAUAUGUUUUCUUGUUUGUAAGAACUUCUCUGGACAACCAAAUUGUAAUGACCCUAAAUGUAAUGACCCCAAAAAUUAGACCCAAACUAUCCCCAAAGGCCAUUUUGCCUUUCUUUAAAAGAGAGAGAGAGAGAGAGAGAGAGAGAGAGAGAGAGAGAGAGAGAGAGAGAGAGAGAGAGAGAGAGAGAGAGAGAGAGAGAGAGAGAGAGAGAGAGAGAGAGAAGAGGAAGGGAGAAAGCUCACCUGAGCUCGUCGCCGGAGCAACCGUGUGCCGUGUGAGCUCGUCACCACCGUUCGCUGCAGCUUAGAAUCGCCGGAAACCGCCAUGGCAGUUAAGCUUAGUUUCGUCCGUUUAGUAAUUCGCCGAUAACUCUCUAACCGUUGCGAAUCUCGUGCAUCCAAGACCAUCAUCGUGUUCCUCUCGUCAAGACGAAGCCGUAGACACCAACCACGCCUCAAUCGGAGCCCGGAAGAAGCCGCACGCGCCUCCCGAAUAUUCGCCCAGAGCGCGUGAAACACACGCGCCGCCGCCGUCCGCCGCAACUCCGCCGCCGGACCACCAUCCUCCGCCGCAACUCCGCCGCCGGACCACCGUCCUCCGCCGCAGCUCCGCCGUCGCCGCCGGCCAACCUUCCGAUUUGGAGUCCAUUUGAGCAGCUGGAGUUCAUAUAUACCACUUCUCUUCAUUGCUAAGGUGAGACCGACGAGCAGGAGUGAUUAUACCGAACCGGUGCUUUUGGGCUUUUACUACUAUUGGGCUUUUGGGCUUCUAUCGUUUUAUCGCUUUUAUCGUUAUCGGGCCUCUAGGCCUUUGGGCUUUUAUCGUUUAUGUUAUUUCGUAUUUCGGACUCUCGGUUUAUGUCGUACUUUAUGUUUCAGAUUUUAUUUUAUAUUAUGGAAUUCAAGCGUGGAUGUUGACUUUCAAAUAUUUAUAUAUGGAUAUUUCAGAUA